GUGUGGUAAGGUAGCUUUAGGUAAAUGUUCCCCCAACUAAUGGUCUGGCCCAUACGGCCUUGAUUGGGCCAAUUGGCAUUUCCCUAUUUAAGGGCUGCUCAUUUGGUGUUUGGAGGCUGAAGGUGGUGCUGGUUUGACGUGAGGCCAGUACGAAAGACGUAUGUUUUGGUUAUGAUAUCCUAUGUUAUGUUAUCUUAGUUUUUGUUUGCUGACCGAUGCAGUCACUGCAGAGAAGGCGUGAAAGAUACAUCAUAAUCCACGUCUGGAAACUCCUACACAAGAAAGUGCCCAAUGAUAUCAACAUGGAGUUCUACUACACCGGAAGGCUCGGAUGGAGAGCUAGAUUACCCAAGCUCUAUGUCAGAGCGAAAACGUCUGCCAAAACCCUAUACGAUGCCUCGUUUGCCGUCCAAGGAGCUAAGCUUUGGAACGCACUACCGAAAAAUGUCAACACCCAGGAUAACCUUGAUACACUCAAAUGGCACCUGGCCGAAUUCCUGGGCAGAAUACCUGAUCAGCCCCCCACAACUGGCUACAGGACAUGAAAUCACAACUCCAUUGUUAACUGGUUAAACCAGCCGGGUGGCCUUCGAGAGAAGUUGACGACCCAGUAGGAUCCUGCUGAACCAUUCAAUAAGGUUCAAUAAGUUGGCCGUAUCCCAGAUACGUGGGGCGACCACGCCGGUCCCUCACAGGCCACUAGCGGGGAGAUUGUAGAUUGCAACCAACGGAAUCUCUCCCAUAACCCUUCCCUUUCCAAGGACCAUGGUGGCGUGGCCUCUUCUGUAUUGGACAAUGGAGUUUGAACCCAACCCUUCAGCUGGGAGUCCACCUCCAGGACCAGAGCCUCCUGCCCCCCAUAGCUCCACUACUCAGAUGGCUACGCUAUUCUCCAGAAACGGUGGGUCCAGAAACCUGCACGGGAUUUCCAGACUCAAGUUUCUGGCUUCAAUAA
Molecule: long non-coding RNA, 955 nt
Organism: Gadus chalcogrammus (walleye pollock)
Lineage: Eukaryota; Metazoa; Chordata; Actinopteri; Gadiformes; Gadidae
Exons: 3
Source: RefSeq, a predicted model, not a curated record